RNAcentral lists this long non-coding RNA (30170 nucleotides) under Capsicum annuum. Its description in RNAcentral is "long non-coding RNA (CANN_LNC018478)". Lineage: Eukaryota; Viridiplantae; Streptophyta; Magnoliopsida; Solanales; Solanaceae. The record is from RNAcentral.
AAAAUUUGAAACAUCAAAUCUAUCAGAUCUAACUAGAGAAAUCAAAUCUGAAACUCCAAAUCUACCAGAUUGACCAGAGAAAUCAAUUCUGGAACUCCAAAUCUAUCAGAUCUAACCAAAGAAUUCAAAUAUGAAACUCCAGAUUUAUCAGAUCUGGACCGAGAAAAUUGAACCUGAAACUCCUGAUCUAUCAACCUAAUUAUAGAAAAUGGAAUCUAGAACUCUAGAUCAAUAAGGUCUAACCAGAGAAAUACAAUCUAGAACUCUAGAUCUAUUAGAUAUGACUGGAGAAAUCAAAUCUGGAUCUCCAGAUCAACUAGAUUUUAUCAGAAAAAAUUGAAUCUGAAACUAUUGUUGUUGGUUCUAAUGCACAACUGUCAUUCUCUAAUAUGGUUCACCAUCCACCUCCACUACUCUGGCAACCCAGGGCUAGCAAGCAGAGUCUCUGACAAUAAGAAUUUGGCGUCUAGUUUUAGCACUAGAUUUUGCCAACAUCCUACAAAGUUUUCAAGAAAACCACCCUAAUCCCUGUGAUUUCUAUCUCUUUAAUCUUUAUUAAAGUCAUUUGCUAUUUUCUAUUUUUUGUUUAAAUCUUCCCAAGUUUUCAUUCUCUGCCCACACUUUUCUGACUUGCUAUAUAGAACAUUGUUGCCUAUUUUGGUGCAAUUUUAUUAAUGUUUUAUUACUUUUUUUCUUUGAUCUCUACCUCUUCUUUGGUGUUAAUUUAGACCUAGACUAGUAAGUAUUAACUUUGACUUGAAUUUUGUUUUGCUAAUGUCAUUUCCAUAAUUACUGUGAUAUUUAUUCUUCUUCUCUUGUAGCAUACUACGUGUUGUUCUCUUUUAUAGCUUUUUAGAUUUACAACACAAUGCAGGUUCUGAUCUCUGUUUCUGAUUUUGGUGUAAUUCAAUUUAUUGAUUCCGUGCUCUUUUUAAAUUUUUCAUUAUCGUUUCAAAUUAUUUCUUGCUAUCUUGCUUUUAGACUAUUCAUUUAAAUUAGUAUUUUCCUAUGUAGUUUAAACCUUAUUUGAUGGCUUUCGUGAAUGAUGAUAGACUAGGGUCAUGUCGUAAGUCGCGAUCAAGGGAGAAGGGUAGGAGUGGUACGUGGGUUAAAGGUUUUCCUAGUCUGAGAGCAGGGUCUUGGAAUAUAUGGAUCCUUGUUGGGGCAGUCCACAGAGAUACAAAAGAUUUUAAAGAAGAGGAAGAGUCAUAUAGCGUGUGUUUAGGACACUAAGUGGGUUGGUACCAAGGUUUGGAAUGUGGAGGAGUUUAAGUUAUAUUACCCAGGAGGAUCGAGGGAUAGGAAUGUAGUAGGUAUUUUAGUAUAUGGGAACCUUAGAAAGUAAGUGACGGAUGUUAGGAUGAUUAAGGAUAGGAUGAUGACGAUUAAGCUAGUCAUUGAAGGGCUUACUUUGAACGUGAUUAGUUCUUAUGCACCCCAAAUAGGAUUGAAUGAAGAGGUUAAGAAUAAAUUUUAGGUGGAUUUGAAUAAGAUGGAAAGGGGUAUACCACAAACUGCGAAUACAUUCAUUAGCGGGAACUUCAACGGCCACAUUUGGGAAAACUCUAGUGGUUUUGAUGAUGUGCAUGAAAACUUUGUUUUUGGGGAUAGAAAUGUAGGUGGAACCUUGCUUUUGCAUUUUUCUAAAGUUUUUUGAGUUAUUUACAGCUAAUUUGUGCUUUCCAAAGAUGGAAGACCACUUGGUUGCCUGCCAUAGCACGAUGGCUAAAAAACAGAUAGAUUACUUACUCUUGAGGAAGGGCAGUAAAGUCCUUUGUAAGGACAAGGUUAUCCCAACUAAGAAUCUUACAAACAUAAGCUUUUGGUGAUGGACAUAGUGAUUAAGUGGGAAAGAGGAAAAACAAUUUAUAUGUUGGGCAAGGAUCUUGUCCUGUGCCCUGUUUUGAGAAACGAUAAAGAAACUGAUGGUUAUGGGGGCUAGAAGUAAUAGUUAGGAUGCAAAAGCAUCUGGGAUAAGUUGCAUUAGGCAAGAAGUCAAAGAAUUGUUUGAGCAUCCCAUUUCCCAAGAGAUUGCUGUUGGAAUAGAGAAGUCUAAGGCUAUGCAGAAAGAAAGAUGGUUGCUUAUGAAAAGUUGGUAUAGUGCAAGGACAAGGAGGGGAAGCGGUCACUGAAGGAUAUUUAUAAGGCAACAAAGAUGGAGGCUAAGUUAGCUGUUACAAUAGCUAAGAUGGUAGGUUACUACUAUGUACUGACCUAGGAGACAAAGGAAGAAAAAGAAAAUGUAUAAGCUCACUAAGGCGAGAAAGAAAAGGGCCCAAGAUCAAGUGAAGUGCAUCAAGGAUGGACAAUGCGAGGUGCAAGUGGAACAGACCCUUAUUAAGUAAAUAUGACAAGCAUACUUGCACAAAUUAUUGACUGGUGGAGAAAUAUCAAGAAAAGAAGAGGGACUUCAUACUGUAUUUCACUAUCCUUGAAAAGGCCUAUGAAAAGUUUUGAGGGAAGUUCUAUGGGGAUGGCUGGAGGACAGAGGUGUAUCAAUGGAUUACAUUUGGGUGAUAUGGUACAUGUAUGAUGGAUCCAAAUUAUAGGUCAAAAUAGUAGUAGAGACUCAGAGCACUUCCUAAUGGAGAUGGGUUUGCGCCAAGGAUCAACUCUUAGCCCGUUCCCAUUUUUCGUGUGAUGGAUAAAUUGAUGAGGCACAUUCAAGAUAAGAUGUCUUGGUGUAUGUUGUUUGCUGAUGACAUAGUAUUGAUUGAUGAAACACAAAGUGGAGUUAAUGCUAAGUUUGAGAUGUGGAAACAAAAAUUCUAGAGUCUAAAUGGUUCAGAUUGAGUAGCACCAAAAGAAAGUAUUUGGAGUGCAAAUUCGGUGAUACAAUGCAUAAGUUUGGCGUGGAAGUGAGGCUUGACACACAUGCUAUUCCCAAGAGAGAAAGAGUUUCAAGUAGCGUAGGUCUAUAAUCCAAGGAAGUGGGGUUAUCAAUGAAGAUAUCAAACAUGCUAUUAUUGUAAUUCUAUAAUACAUGUGUGUAACUAUAAAGCUAAAUACAUUCAUUUUUCAUCUCUCCCCUAGUUCUCUUUCUCUGUUCUAAUCAAAGAGUAACUAGAGAAACUACUUUCUGACACCUAACAUAUAUCGCCUCCCAGCAAUGCAGGGUGCACAUCUUCAAUGUAUCAAAUGAUUCUUCAAACAAAUAGGACCUGUCAGUGAGCAUCUCAUGCGACUCCUUGUUUCUGUCUCUAACUUCUUGAAGCAUCAUCAUUGCGAAAUGUCUUCUUACUCGAAACUGUUACCUUCUUGUGCUCAAUAACUUACCAAUAAUUGUCAGAAAUUUUUGUAAAUGUCAAAAAAGGAAAGCACAGAGAAAACUUUCUUUGCCUUAUCUUCUGCCAAAAGAAUUCCAAGCUUUUAAAAGUUUUGAAGUGCUAUUUUCACUCCUUUAGUAUUACAAGAUACUGAGACCACUAGGAUACAAUAGGCUUGCCUUCCCCUUCAUCUUGCAAAGAUCUUAUAUAUACAUUACUUCACUGGCCAUCCUUAUUUAGUGGCAACAAUUUCUCACCAAGCACGUCACUAAGUAAAAUCAUGCAAUGUGCUCAUUCGAAACCCCACAGACUCAAUUCUAAACCAUGGGAUAACUCAGCUAUUACUACCUCACGUACAAAAAGAAAAAUAUCAGCCAAUGUUGAUAAUUCCUUUGUAGUGUUGAACCUUAUGAUCCUAAUGUCCGCUACUAUAGACCCUAUACUUCUCCGACAACAACAAUACAAAUGAUCAUCAAUCCCAACAACCAUUCUCAGUAGCUUACAAAACAGCGAUACUAUAGGAACACAUAUAUUGUAUACACUUGUAGGCAACAUAGUAAAUGAAUGAGAUAAGCAUCCAGUACCACCUCGAGUUAUGGCCAAAGUUUCUACAAUACACUCCAACUUCAUAGGGGAUCUAUUAUCCCUGAACUCAAUUUUUGCAUAUUUUUGUCACCUUUUUCUGCUGAUGUGGCACCUUUAUUACGUAAAAGUGGGGCCACGUCAAAGGUGCAACUAAAAAGGUGUCACGUCAGCUACAAAGGUUGACAAAAUAUGCUACAAUUUAGUUCAGAGGGUAAUAGGACUCCUGUGAAGUUGAAGUGUGUCAUAGCAAUUUGGUCAUAGUUCAGGGGUACUAGUUGUUUUACUCUAAAUGAAUUGACGAAUGAACAAAUGGAUUUGCCAGCAAUUAAUCUCUUAGCAUUAUUUGGGGACUUAUAAAGUGUUAUCAAAGCUGCAAAAACAGAUGAGAAGACGAACAAUUCCAUAUGUUCACAUGUUUUUUCAAUAUUAUCCUCGAGAGUCAUAGUUGUGAACUAUACAAGCAACAUUAUUAUGCGAUCCGAGUCUGAAGAAAAACAAACAUUGCUUUUCAAAAUGUUGAAGUUCAUUGAAAGUAAGUCACUAAUCAGUUUCCACGCCUUAGCAUGAUAUGUGCUCUGUAUUGCACUGAGUAGAUGCAAAUUUGUAUCAUUUUCUACGCCAUAGUUAGACAAUGUUUGUUCAGAGCAAAUCAACUGCUUUUCCUUAAAAGUUAGCUGUUGAUGAUUAGCUGGUAUACCCAUGGUCAACACGAUUUUAUUAUGAACUAUCUCAACUGAGUCGGUAGAAUCAGAUUUGAAUAACGAGGGUUUUGCCUCUGGGAAAUGAACACACGAAGAACUAAGUAGAAAUAGUUGGAAUGAAAUAGUUCGGUUUUCCCUUUCGCUUUUUGAUACGGAGGGAUGAAGAAGGAACUUGAUUGAGCUGAUGCUUGUUGUGGUGGAGCUGCGAUUAUAGACGGUGUCGGUCAUGGUGAAGUGAAGUGAAAAUUGUUUUGUGGUACGCCAAUGACAAGAAGAAAAUGGUUUUUCCAAAUUGUAAUAAAAAUGGUGGGGUGAGGAGUCCCGUCACUACUUAAGAAAAGAUGGAAUCUUUUCAUAAGUUUUAACGAAACUCCACUCCACUCUUCUUCAUUCAACCUGAAGAAAACAUUUUUGUGCUGUCUUUGCGUAUCACAAAACCAUUUUCACUUCAUUUCUACCAUGACCGACACCGUCUACAACCACAGCUCCACCACCAACAAGCGUCAGCUUGAUCAAGUUCCUUCUUCAUCACUCCGUACCAGAAAGCGAAAGGGAAAAUUGAUUUGUUUCAUUCCAACUACUUCUAUUCAGUUCUUCGCAUGUUCAUUUCCCAGAGGCAAAACCCUAGUUAUUCAUUUGAUUCUACAAACUCAGUUGAGAUGGUUCGUGAUAAAAUCAUGUUGAACACCUACCAGCUGAUCAUCGCGACUAAUGUACAAGGGAAAGCAGCUGAUCCGGUAUGAACGAACAUUGGCUAACUAUGUCAAGAAAACGAUACAACUACUUGGUUCAAUGUUGAGCACUUAUCAUGCUAAGGCGUGGAAACUCAUCAGUGGCUUAAUUUCAAUGAUCUCCGACAUUUUGAAAAAUAAUGUUUGUAUUUCUUCAGACCUAGAUCGUAUAAUAAUGUUGCUUGUAUAGUUCACAACUAUGACUCCCGAGGAAAAUAUUGAAAAAUCAUGUGACCAUAUGGAAUUGUUAGUCUCCUCAUCAUUUCCUGCAGCUCUGGUAGCACUAGACAUCGAUAAUUCUAAGAGAUUAAUUGCUGGUGAAUCCAUUUGUUCAUUUGUCAUUUCAUUUGCUGUGUUGCCUUAAACUGUGUACAAUGUAUGUGUUCCAGUGGUAUCAGUGUGUUGUAAGCUACUGAGAGCGGCUGCUGGGCUUGAUGAUCGUUUGUAUAGUUAUUGUCAGAAAAGUGUAGGGGCUAUAGUAGAGGACGUUGGGAUCAUAUGCAGCAACACUACAAAGGAAUUAUCAGCAUUGCCUGAUGUUUUUUCUUUUCGUACGUGAGGUGGCAGUGGUUGAGUUAUCCCAUGAUUUAGAAUUGAGUAUGGAAUCAAUUGAGUUUGUGGAGUUUUUAAUGAGUGCAUUUCAUGAUUUUACUGAGUACAUGUGUUUGGUGAGGAAAUUGUUGCCAUUAAAGAAGGAUGGCACCAAUGAAGCAUGUGUGAAAAAGAGUAUAUUGAAUGUUUGCAUCGUAUAUUAUGCGAUGUGCAUCUGAUUUUAUACGAUUUGCUAGAAAAGAUGGAAUCGUGUUUUAAGAAAUUGGAAAACCAAUUCGGAUUGCAAGUUUAAGGGGAAGGCAGGCCUAUUAUAUCCUAGUGGUUUCAAUAUCUUGUAAUACUGAAGGAGUUAAAUAGCACUUCAGAACUUUUCAACUGCUCGGAUGUCUUAUGGCAGAAAAUGAGGCAAAGAAAGAUUUCACUGUGCUUUUUGAUUGUGAUACUUGCAAAAUGUUUUGAUGAUUAUUGGUGGGUUAUUAGCACCAGGAGGUAACGAAUUUUGAGGUAAGGAGGCAUUUAGCGGUGAUGAUGCUUCAAGAAGUUAGACGGAAAUGAGUAGUCACAUGUGUGAUUAACCGAGGUGUACGCUUUUUGAAUCACUGGAGAAGCAAGAAAAAGAAAGAAGGAAGAAGAAUGACGUUUGCAGAGAAUGAGCAGUUCACUAUCGUUCACUUAGUUAUCAAAAAAAUACUACACGUCAUGGGUAUUUCUAGAAAACUUCUAUGAGUAGAGAUCAUAACUAAGAGGCUCACUAUCUACUAGUUAGAUAUAACAAACAACUUGCAAGUAACUAACUCCCUGAAGCUAACCGCCUACUCCAAGAUAGCUGCUAACACUUUGUACUCUUAACAACAUCAAAUGCUCAUUAACUGGACCCAGUUGCUGGAAGAAUCAAUUGAAUUCAUUGGAGAUAUGGAUCCCACAUUGUUGCGAGGCGAUCUGUUUAUGGGAUUCAAAAAUGAAGCAACUACUGAGCUUGGUCUGUUGAAGGAAUGGUUUUCCUUUGUAUGUUGGGAGACCUUCAAUCCUGAGAGUGCUCAUAGAAGGUUUCUCACAAAUCCAGGUAACCUUUGAUUUCCAUUAUAUAUGCACAUAUUUAUGUUACCAGUUCUCACUUCAACUUUUAAGGCUCUGGGAUUCUCUUUGUCUGAACAAAACAUCGUACUUUUUACUUAUCUAACGAAGAAAGGCUCCAUUAAUAAUACUUGGAUUGCACUGCAUAUGCAAUACUUCUGAGUCAAGUUAUCAUUUUACUCCUAGUCAAGAUAUGUAUUUCUUGUCCUAAUUUUGAAGUAUAUUUAAAUCUAAAUUCAAUGAAAAGAUUAGAACAUCUCAUAGUGAUAGAAGAUAAAGGAACAAGAUGGUAAUAGUAUUAGAAAUUUUUUGCAUCUAAAAGAUUUAACUUAUCCAUUAAUAUAGGUCGUGCAUAUUAUCUUAUAGGUUGAUUAGUGGCAAUGCAAACCACCUGUGGACUGGAGCUAAUACUGGAAGAGGAUAUGUUAUAUCAAAGAGAAAUAUGCUCCUGGGUAUUGUGGAGAUGAUUGGCUUCAAAAUAGGGACAAAUACACAAUCCAAAGCAGCUAUCGACGGAGAAGAGGGAAUGGUAGCCUAUGGCCUUGGUGGAGGGAUGCAUGGAACAAAGCUAAUGUGACUAAACAUAGUUUUAUUUCUUGGCUUCCAAUGCACAAGAGGAUGCUCACCAGGGAUAGAUUAAAUAAAAUGGGAGUAUGAUAGGACACGGAAUGCCUAUUAUGUGGUAGAUGCCCAGAAAGCAUUACACAUAUAUACUUCGAGUGUAAAUUAUCAAAUUUAUGCUAGGAGGGAGUCCUAGACUGUCUGAAAAUGAAGAUUCAUAGGAAAGAUUUGAAGGGCAUCUGGACAGGACUUGCACGAAAGACUACUGGGGAAAUAAGCAAGGCACUCAUAAGAACAAUCCUUGCUGCACUGAUCUAUCAUGGAGCAUGGUGGAACAAAGAAGUAAUCAGAACCCAAAGGUUGUUGAAGAUAAUCAACAGGGAAGCAAAGGCAGAAUCUAUGAAGUCUUACAUCGGAUAGUUUGUAAAGACAGAGAUUGGAUAGAACAGUUAUGUGAUAGGUGAUGGAGGUGUAGUCUACAAUAACAUGUGUGAUGUGGUUAUUAAUACAUUCUGUUCGCUUGACCAAAAAAAUGACGAUGUCAUCUCCAUUCCUUUUGCAUGUCAAGUUUUAUUCUUGCUUUCAUUCACCAUUAUUCCUUGUGGAAAAAUAUUUUUACUUCAAAAACUUGAAAUUAACAAUAUAUUUAAUCUCUUAUAUUAGCAUGAGGUAAUCUACUGAUGAUUUUCUUUUAUUUAUGUAUGAAAAAAAUCACCAAUCAUGAUUAUAUAAAGAUCAAAUUUUCAAGUCUUCGUUUUUCCCCCAUUGUUCCUUUCUUUUACUUUUUUCAUAUUUCCUUGUACUUUCUGUGUUGCUCUCUUCUUAGUUGGUACAACUUUUUUGGGAUACUCAAACUCGAGUAUUGAAAAAUAAAGAUAAUACAGGGACAUUGAUCUGAGCGUUUAUAAAAAACAACCUCUCUAACUCCCAUGGUAUGGGUAAGGCCAGCAUAAAAAUGUUGUAAGAUUACACUUGGUAUGUUGUUGUUGUUAUAUCUAGAGAGUUUAAUGUUGACUGUAGGGCAGAAGAAAGGUCAAGUCCUUAGUUUUUAGUUUUGAUGAUGGACAACUUGGGAGUUGGUAGAUCUUCCUCUAGGAAAUAAACCUUUAGGUUUUAAAUGGAUCUUCAAAAGGAAAAUGAAAGCAGAUGGUACUAUUGACAAAUACAAGACAAGACUUGUUGUAAAAAGCUUUAAACAAAAUGAAGGUCUUGAUUACUUUGAUACAUACUCGCCAGUAACGAGGAUAACAUCAAUUCGGAUGUUAAUUGCCUUGGCGGUAGUAUAUGGUCUUGAAAUCCAUCAAAUGGAUGUGAAAACAACAUUCCUAAAUGGAUAAUUGGAGGAAGAAAUUUACAUGGAACAACAUGAGGGUUUUGUGGUUCGAGGAAAAGAAAAUAAGGUGUGUAAACUUGUUAGGUCACUUUAUUGACUAAAACAAGUACCUAAACAAUGGCAUACGAAGUUUGACCAAACCAUGUUGGAAAAUGGGUUCAAGAUUAAUGAAUGUGAUAAAUGUGUUUACAUUAACGACACUCCAAAUCACCAAGUCUUUGUAUGUGGAUGACAUGUUGAUCAUUAGUAGAGACAUUUUGGACAUAAACGUAACGAAAUGAAUGCUCGAGAGCAAGUUCGAUAUGAAAGACCUUGGAGUUGCGGAUGUGAUCUUAGGAAUAAGAAUCCAUAGAACUCCACAAAGGUUGGCAUUGUCACGGUCUCAUUAUAUCGAAAAGGUACUUAACAAAUUCAAGUAUAUGGAAUUUGGUAUUGCCAAGACUCCAUUGGAUGUGAGCUUUGCACUUUGAAAUAAUGAACGUGAAAGUGAUUCACAAUUGGAGUACUCAAGAGUAUUAAGAUGUUUAAUGUAUAUAAUGAAUUGUACACGACCAUACAUAGUAUGUGCUAUUAUUAAGUUGAGUCGAUAUAUGAGUAAUCCUAAUAAAACUCAUUGGAUUGCGAUGAAAAGAGUUUUGGGGUAUCUUAAAUACAUUCAAGACUAUGCUUUGCAUUAUAAUAAAUAUCCUGCGGUACUUGAAGGAUACUGUGAUGCAAAUUGGAUCACCGGAUCGAACGAAGUAAAAUACACAAGUGGAUAUGUAUUUACUAUCGGUAGAGGAGCGAUCUCUUGGAAGUCAUCCGAAUAGAAAUGCAUUGCUCGCUCUACAAUGAAAUCUAAUUUAUCCCAUUAGAUAAAGCCGGUGAAGAAGCAGAAUGACUCUGGAAGUUUUUGGAAGAUAUUCCUUAUUGGCCCAAACCAUUGGUACAAGUAGGUAUACACUGAGAUAGCCAAGUAGAAAUAGGCAGGGCAGGUAGCAGGAUAUACAACGGUAAGUCUUGUCAAAUAAGACGGAGACAUAAUGCCAUUAGAGAACUUCUCUCUAGUGGAAUUAUCACUGUUGACUAUGAAAAGUCAAAGGAUAAUGUGUCGGAUCCACUUACAAAAGGCCUAUCUAGAGAAAGAGUUGAAAGAACAUCCAAGGGAAUCGGUUUAAGGCCUAGUAAAAGUCAGCAUGGCGAUAACUCUACCUAACAGAAAGGAUAUCAUAAGAGCUAGGUUUAGAGAGAUCAAACAAAGUUGUGUUUGAUAGGUUCAACAUUGUCAUUAUACACAACCCAUUCUCAUGAUAUAGACAAUGUUUAGUAAACGAUGAUAAGAAUUAUGGUGUGAAGUCUUUUAAUGAUUAUCUAAAUUUUCCAGAUUUAACCAAAUAACUUAAUAUACAGGAUUGAACGUUUAGAAAUCACCUAUGUGAGGGCGAAGUAGAAGCCUCUUUAAGGAGAAUGUUAUUAAAGGCCUAUUCUCUAAGCUCUCAUGAAAUCGGGACUUGUUCAUGGUUGAAAAGAACAAAAUUUUGAGAACCAUAAAUGGUAAGAGACUAGUUGUGUGACAUGUGUUAUCUAGAUGUACAUUAAAUCUUGACGGUUCAAAGAUAUCAAAUCUAUCGAUUGACUAAGUGCAUCCAAUGCAAGUUCUUUACUGAAAGUUCAAAGAAAAACCCACUUAUCCAGAUGCAAUCAGUCUUUGCUCAAUUUUUACAUGCUUGUCCGUAUCUUUCUUCAAAAUAUAUCCAUUCUUUAUUCAUGUGGGGGAUUGUUGGGUUCAAAGAGUAUGUAUGAAUGGAAAAUGGAGGGAAAAAUAGUGGAGGGAAAUAGUUACUAAAUUGGAAAGUGUACUCUUUUAAUGGAAAGUCCACUAAUUCUCCCACAUUGGUGGGAGAAGGGAACUUUCAAGUAUUUAUAAUAACGAAAACUUACUCCACACGGUAAGUAAGGCAAGAACAAAGUAGUGCCUCACGUUGUCGUCGUCGCUCACUCGGCUUCAGCUUUGGAUUUAAAUUUGGAUUUGUCAAAUGAUCGAUCGAUGAGAUCUAUUUUUUAGACAAUAUUUAUUUGAAACUUGAUAUUUAUUAGGUAUAGACAAGAUUGGGCGCAAUUCCAGCAUUGACUGUGCGCAGGUGAUAUGACUGUACUGCAUGGGUGCCUUUUUGCUGAACCAAUGCUUCCUCUUCAAAGGGGAACAUUAAGGAUAUAAAUACCUAACAUAUUCCUUAGGUAUAGACAUGAUUUUUAUAGAAAAAAUACUCUUCUUUUAUACAAAAACUCAUUGUGAUCAUUAGCCGUUUAGUGAGUUCAAUGAAUCCAAUAAUUUGAGGUACCGCUAUUGUUGGAUCUAAAGCCAUUUUAUCCUGGGAGAAAAAUUACAUAAUCUCGGGUACAGUGAGGGGAAUUAUUCCUUAAGGACACUCUGUAAAGUUGGGGACUUGGAUUUAAAUUUCUGUUUCAUCUCAUUUCUGAAAAAACAAUAACACACCUCUUAGAUAGAUUAUUUAUAAUCUUGUGUUGAAAGUGUUGUGUAACUUCAUAGGUGUUCUUGUUUUUAUACUUGAACUUGUGUUGAAGUUGUUGUGUGCCUAAAUACAGAUUCUUGUACCCGAAAACACUGCAAAUAACAAUCUUAAGGAAUAAUACUCAUAAUUUGUAUUGCUUGGUUUCUGGAGAUUAAAGCUUUAAGCUUUCUAUUCGGUUUGAACUUAACUAGUGAUUAGAAGACAUAAAAUCUUCAUCAUAAGUUAAAGAUCACUCAGUUGAUGAUUGGAAAUCAUAAGAAUUUCAUCAUUAAACUAGAAACAAGAGGUGUUUAUAGUUGCUGCAACUUUAUUAAUAGUAUUUUGAUAUACUAAAGUUACUGUCUUGUUGUGACAGGAAAAUGACUACGGAUAGUCAAGUGCAUGAUGCUGCAACGAGUGUGGCAGCAACUAGUGUUGCCAUGAAGAGUCAUACGAAUGCAAUGGCACCAGCGUAGAAACAUGGAAAGUUCACGGGUAUUGACAUCAAAUGGUGGUAGCAGAAAAUGUUCUUCUACCUUACAACUCUUUAUCUUCAAAGGUUCACAUUUGAAGAAGCUCCAGAGAUGGCCAAGGGAACCUCUGAACAAGAUUGAUUUGUCAUUGUGGAGGCGUGGAAACACUCAGAUUUUCUUUGCAGAAAUUACAUUCUAAAUGGCCUCCAAGAUGAACUAUUCAAUGUAUAUAGUGGGAGGGCCCUAGAAAGGAAGUAUAAGACUGAGGAUGCGGGAACUAAAUAGUUAUUCGGUUCAAGAUUCCUAUAGUUUAAAAUGAUUGACAGCAAGUCUGUUGUAUCGCAAGUCCAGGAACUGAAAGCAAUCAUCCUUGAUCUCCUCGCGAAAGGUAUGAUUCUGAGGAAUACCUUAGUUGAAUAUAUUAAAGAUAUUCUUAAUGUUCAUAUGAACUUAAUUGUAGGUUUGAUCAUGAAUAAGGCAUUUCAAGUCGUGGCAAUUAUUCAGAAGUUACCACUUAUGUGGAAGGGACCUCAAGAACUACUUGAAACACAAGUGAAAAGAAAUAUAAGUCAAAUAUUUUAUAAUAAUAUUGCGCAUUGAAGAAGAUAAUAAAUCCGCGAAAAGAAGGUCAAAGGGAAAUUCUACAAAAAGUGGAGCAAAUAUUGUAGAGAUGACCAAAACAACUCCAAAAAGCAGAAGAAAGUUGGACAGAAAAACAAUCAACCCAAGAAGAAAUUCAAGGGAAAAUGCUUUAACUGUGGCAAGAUUGGACAGAAGUCUAUGGAUUGUCAUGACCCAAGGAAAGGAAAGAAAAAAGACCAAGCAAAUAUGGUUGAGUCCAAGAAAGAAAUGGAUGAUCUGUGUGCCAUGUUGUCCAAAUACAACUUGGUGGGAAAUCCUCAGAAAUGGUGGAUGGAUUGCGGUGCCACCCGCCAUAUUUGUGCUAACAAAGAGUUAUUUGAUGUUUUUGCUCUAGUACAAGGGAAAGAAAAGAUAUAUAUGGCCAACUCUACAACUGCUAAAGUUCAAGAAACAGGAAAAGUCUGCCUGAAAAUGACAUCAGGCAAAGUGUUGACUUUGAACAAUUCCCUAUAUGUACCAGAGUUAUGGAAGAACUUGAUUUCUGUAUCACUUCUUUACAAAAAUGGAUUCAAAUGUGUAUUUGUUUUCAGAAAAAUUGUACUUAGUAAAGGAGAAGUGUAUAUAGGAAAAGGCUACCUCAAUAAGGGCCUAUUCAAAAUGAAUGUUGAAAUAAAUAAAAGUUCAAUUUCUUCUUACAUGCUUGAGUCUUAUGAUUUGUAGCAUGAAUGAUUAGGCCUUGUUAAUUACAAAACAUUGUGAAAAUAGAUUAACUUACAAGUUUUGCCAAACUUUGAGUGCAAUAAAUCAAAAUGUCAAAUGUGUGUGGAAUCAAAGUAAGCUAAGCAUCCGUAUAAGUCCGUUGAAAGAAAUUCUAAUCUCUUAGACUUAAUCUACACUGAUAUUUGUGAUACGAAGUCAACACCAUAUCGUGGUGGAAAAAAGUAUUUUAUAACUUUUAUUAACGAUUGCACUAGAUACUGUUAUGUCUAUUUUCUAAAUAGUAAGGAUAAAGUAAUAGAUACGUUUAGGCUAUAUAAUACUGAAGUCAAAAAUCAAUUAGAGAAAAAGAUCAAAACAAUAAAAAAUGAUAGGGGCGGAGAAUAUGAAUCUCCUUUUACGCAAAUAUAUGUAGAGAAUGGAAUUGUCCAUCAAACUAUGGCCCCGUAUUCACCUCAAUCUAAUGAAAUUUUGGAAAGGAAAAAACAGAACCUUGAAAGAAAUGAUGAAUGCCUUGCUUAUAAGUUUAUGUUUACCGCAAAACUUGUGGGGGGGAUCUAUCCUUAUGUCUAAUAGAAUACUCAAUAGAGUGAUCCAUAGUAAGACACAAUCAAUUCCAUAUGAUAAAUGGAAAGAAAGGAAACCCAACUUGAAAUAUUUCAAAGUGUGGGGGUGUCUAGCCAAGGUCCAAGUUCCUAUUCCUAAAAGAGUAAGGAUAGCACCUAAGACGGUGGACUGUGUGUUCAUAGGAUAUGCUAAAAAUAGGAUAUGCUAAAAGUAGCAAAGCAUUAAGGUUUUUGGUUUAUAAAUCCAAACAUCUGGAUAUCAAUUAAAAUACAGUAAUUGAAUCAGAUAAUGUUGAAUUCUUUGAAUACAUUUAUCCGUAUAAAACUAAACAUGAACUGUCUAGUGGGGGUCUAAACGACGUCGAAACCAAGUAAGGAAGUUUAUAAUGAUGAGAAUCCAAGACAUAGAACAUAUCAAAGAACAUCAACUUCGUUUGGAUCGGAUUAUGUAACAUUUCUUUUAGAAAAUGAGCCUUAAACGUUUGAAGAAACGACGUCGUCGUCAGACUCAUCCAUUUGGAAAGAGGUAGUCAAGAGUGAGAUUGAUUCAAUCUUAAGCAACCAUACGUAGGAUUUGGUUGAUCUUCCUCCAGGAAAUAAACCGUUAGGUUCUAAAUGGAUCUUCAAAAGGAAAAUGAAAGUGGAUGGUACUAUUGAAAAAUACAAGGCAAGACUUGUUGUAAAAGGAUUUAAACAAAAGGAAGGAUUUGAUUACUUUGAUACAUACUCGCUAGUAACAAGGAUAACGUCAAUUCGGAUGUUAAUUGCCUUGGCAGCAGUAUAUGGUAUUAAAAUCCAUCAAAUAGAUAUGAAAACAGCACUACUAAAUGGAGAAUUGGAGGAAGAAAUUUACAUAGAACAGCGUGAUGGUUAUAUGGUUCCAGGAAAAGAAAAUAAGGUGUGUAAAAUUGUUAGGUCACUUUAUGGACUAAAACAAGUACCUAAACAACGGUAAACGAAGUUUGACCAAACCAUGUUGGAAAAUUUGUUCAAGAUUAAUGAAUGUAAUAAAUGUGUUUACAUUAAAGACACUCUAAAUCACCAAGUCAUUGUUUGUUUGUAUGUGGAUGAUAUGCUGAUCAUCUGUAGAGACAUUUUGAACAUAAAUGCAGUUAAAUGAAUGGUCGAGAGUAAGUUUGAUAUGAAAGACCUUGGAGUUGCGGAUGUGAUCUUAGGAAUAAGAAUCCAUAGAACUCCACAAGGAUUGGCAUUGUCACAGUCUCAUUAUAUCGAAAAGUUACUUAACAAAUUCAAGUAUAUGGAAUUUUGUAUUGCCAAGACUCCAUUGGAUGUGAGUUUCACACUUUGAAAGAAUGAAGGUGAAAGUGACUCACAAUUAUAGUACGCAAGAGUAUUGGGGUGUUUAAUGUGUAUAAUAAAUUGUACAUGACCAGAUAUAGCAUGUGCUAUUAGUGAGUUGAGUAGGUACACUAGUAAUCCUAAUAAAACUCAUUGGAUGGCAAUGAAAAAAGUUUUGGGGUAUCUUAAAUACACUCAAUACUAUGCUUUGCGUUAUAAUAAAUUUCCUGUGAUACUUAAAAGAUAUAAUAACGCAAAUUGGAUCAUCAGAUCGAUUGAAAUAAAAUCGUUGAGUGGAUACGUAUUUAGUAUCGUUGGAGGAGCGUUCUCUUGGAAGUCAUCCAAAUAGACAUUCAUUGCUCGCUCUACAAUGGAAUAUGAAUUUAUCGCAUUAGAUAAAGCUAGUGAAGAAGCAGAAUGGAUCCAGAAUUUCUUGGAAGAUAUUCCUUAUUAGCCCAAACCAGUUGCACCAGUAUGUAUACACUGGGAUAGCCAAGUGGCAAUAGGUAGAGCAGGGUUCUUGAUGUAAAACGGUAAAUCUCAUCAUAUAAGAUGGAGAUAUAAUACCGUUAGAAAACUUCUCUCAAGUAUAAUUAUCACUGUCGACAAUGUAAAGUGAAAGGAUAAUGUGUAGGAUCUACUUACAAAAGGCCUAACUAGAGAAGGAGUUGAAAGGACAUCCAAGUGAAUGGGUUUAAGGCCUAGGACAAGUCAGCAUGACAGUAACUCUACCUAGCAGAUAGGAGAUCCCAAGAGCUAGAUUCAAAGAGAUUAAAAAAGGUUGUGUAUGAUAGGUUCAACAUUGUCAUUAUACCCAACCCAUUCUUAUGAUGUAGUCAAUGUUUAGUAAUCGAGAAUAAGACUUAUGGUGUGAAGUCUUUUAAUGAUUAUCUAAAUUUGACAGAUUUUACCAAAUAGUUUAAUCUGCAGGAUUGAAUGUUUAGAAUUCACCUAUGUAAGGGUGAAGUGGAAGUCGCUUUAAAGAGAAUGUUAGUAAAGACCUAUUAUCUAAGCUCUCAUGAAACCGGGAUGUGUUCAUGGCUGAAAAGAAUAAAAUCGUGAGAACCAUAAAUGGUAAAAGGAUGGUUUUGUGACAUGUGUUGUCUAGGUGUACAUUAAAGCUCGACGGUUUAAUGAUAUCAAAUCUACCAAUUGACCGAGUGUAUCCGAUGAUGUUCACUAUGGAAAGUUCCAGGGGAAACCCACUUAUCCAAAUGUAAUCAGUCUUUGUUCAUCGAUCACAUGUUUUUCGCUAUCUUUUUUCAAAAGAUAGUCAUUCCCCAUUCAUGUGGGCGAUUGUUGGGUUCAAGGUGUAAGUAUAAAUGGAAAAUAGAGGGAUAAAAUAGCGUAGGGAAAAUAAGUUGAAAGUGUACUUUUUUAAUGGAAAGUCCACUAAUUCUUCCACAUUGGUGGGAGAAGGGAACUUUCAAGUGCUUAUAAUAAGGAACACUUACUCCACAUGGUAAGUAAGGCAAGAACAAGGUGGAGCCUCACGCCGUCAUUUUCGUUGCACUCUCGGCUGGGCUUCGUAUUUGAAUUUGUCAAAUGAUCGACCAAUGAGAUCUAUUUUGUAGACAAAAUUUAUUUGAAACAUUAUGAACAAGAAAAUUUUAAUCCAAAGAAUCUGAUAGAAAUAUUUUUCUCCAUAUGCGAGUGCAUUUGAUGCCAUACAAAUGCAUACACAAUACACCUCGAAGGGAUGCGAACCUUCGAGGUAAAUGGUACAUUGUUUCAUGUAAUAAGGUGAUCUGUGCACACACCUUGGUAACAUGAGGGCACAGGUAGUCACUGGAAUUUGGACAAUGUCACCUGUGGCUGCAGAUCGGGCACAGUUCUAGCACAGACUAUGCACAGAUGAUGUGACUGUACUGAAUAGGUGCUCUUUUGUUGAACCAAUGCUUCCUUUCAAAAGGGGCACAUUAAGGCUAUUAAUACCUGACAUAUUCCUCAGUUAUAGACAUGAUUUUUGAUAGCAAAAACACUCUUCUUCUCUACAAAAAUCAUUAUGAUCAUUAGCCAUAAAGAGAGUUCGAUGAAUACAAUAAUUUGAGGUACCGCUAUUAUUAGAUCGAAAGCCAUUUUAUCCUGGGAGGAAAAUUACAUAACCUCGAGUAUUAUGAGUGGAAUUCUUCCUUAAGGACACUCCGUGAAGUUGGGGGACUUGGAUUUAAAUUUCUAUUUUAUCUCAUUUCUAAGACUAUAACACACCUCUUGGAUUGAUUAUUUAUAAUCUUUUGUUAAAGGUGUUGUGUAAAUUCAUAGGUUUUCUUGUUUUAAAACUUGAACUUUUAUUGAAGUUGUUGUGUGCCAAAAUACAGAUUCUUGUACCCGAAAAUAUUGAAAAUAACAAUCGUAAGGAAUAAUACUCGUAAUCUGUAUUGCUUGAUUUCUGGAGGUUAGAGCUUUAAGAUUUAUACUCCGUUUGAACUUAACUACCGAUUUGAAGAUAUAAAAUCUUCAUCAUAAGUUACAACUCUUUGUCUUCAAAGGUUCACAUUUGAAGAAUCUCUAGAGGUGCCUAAGGAAACCUCUGACCAAGAGCAAUUUGUCAUUGUGGAGGCAUGGAAACACUCAAAUUUCCUUUGCAGGAAUUACAUUCUAAAUGGACUCCCAGAUGAACUAUACAAUGUGUAUAGUGGGAUGAAUACGGCAAAGGAGUUGUGGGGGUGCUAGAAAUUAAGUAUAAGACUGAGGAUGCGGGAACUAAAAAGUUCUUCAUUUCAAGAUUCCUAGAGUUUAAAAUGAUUGACAACAACUUUGUUGAAUCGCAAGUCUAGGAACUGCAUGUAAUCAUCCAUGAUCUCCUCGCGGAAGGUAUAAUUCAGAGGAAUACCUUUGUUGAAUGUAUUAAAAAUAUUAUGAAUGAAACAUGAACUUAAUUGUAGGUUUGAUCGUUAAUGAAGCAUUUCAAGUUUCAGCAAUUAUUGAGAAGUUACCACAUAUGUGGAAGGACUUCAAGAACUACUUGAAACACAAGCGAAAGGAGAUGCCAGUCAAAGAUCUAUAAUAAUAUUAUGUAUUGAAAAAAGAUAAUAAGGCCAUGGAAAGAAUGUCAAAGGGAAAUUUUGUAAUAAGUGGAGCAAAUAUUGCAGAAAAUAACAAAAACAACUCCAAGAAAUGGAAGAAAGCUGGACAUCAAAGCAAUCAACCCAAGAAAAAAUUCAAGGAAAAAUGCUUUAAUUGUGGCAACAUUGGCCACAAGUCUAUGGAUUGUCGCUCUCCAAAAAAAGGAAAGAAAAAGGACUAAGUAAAUAUGACUGAGUCCAAGAAAGAAACAGAUAAUCUGUGUGCCAUGAUGUCCGAAUGCAACUUAGUGGGAAAUCCUCGAGAAUGGUGGAUGGAUUCCGGUUCCACCCACCAUGUUUGUGAUAAUAAAGAGUUCCUUGCUACUUUUUCUCUAGCUCAAGGGGAAGAGAAGAUAUACAUGGCCAUCUCCGCAACUGCUAAAGUUGAAGAAACAGGAAAAGUAUGCCUAAAAAUGACAUCAGGCAAAGUGUUGACUUUGAACAAUGUCCUAUAUGGACCAGAGUUAGAGAAGAACUUGAUUUCUGUAUCACUUCUUAACAAGAAUGAAUUCAAAUAUGUAUUUGUUUCCAAAAAAAAUUGUAUUAGUAAAGGAGAAGUGUAUGUAGGAAAAGGCUACCUCAUCGAGGGCCUAUUCAAAAUGAAUGUAAUGAAUCUUGAAAACAAUAAAAUUUUAAUUUCUUCUUACUUGCUUGAGUCUUAUGAUUUGUGGCAUGAAUGAUUAAGCCAUGUUAAUUAAAAAACAUAGCGAGAACUGAUUAACUAAGAAGUUUUACCAAACUUUGGGUGCAAUAAAUCAAAAUGUCAAACGUGUAUGGAAUCAAAAUAUGCUAAGCAUCUGUAUAAGUCCUUUGAAAGGAAUUUCAAUCCCUUAGACUUAAUCCACACUGAUAUUUGUGAUAUGAAGUCAACACCAUAUUAUGGUGGAAAAAAGUAUUUUAUAACUUUUAUUGAUGAUUGCACUAGAUAUUGUUAUGUCUAUUUGCUAAAUAGUAAGGAUGAAGCAAUAGAUGCGUUUAGGCAAUAUAAAACUAAAGUUGAAAAUUAGUUAGGGAAAAAUAUCAAAACAAUAAGAAGUGAUAGGGGUGGAGAAUAUGAAUCUCCCUUUGUGCAAAUAUGUGUAGAGAAUGGAAUUGUCCAUCAAACUACGGCCCCGUAUUCACCUCAAUCUAAUGGAAUUGCGGAAAGUAAAAAUUAAACCUUGAAGGAAAUAAUGAAUGUCUUACUUAUAAGUUCAAGUUUACCACAAAACUUGUGGGUGGAAGCUAUCCUUAUGGGUAACUGAAUACUCAAUAGAGUGCCCUAUAUUAAGACACAAUCAAUUCCAUAUGAAAAAUAGAAAGGAAGGAAACCCUACUUAAAAUAUUUCAAAGUGUGUGGGUGUCUUACGAAGGUUCAAGUUUCUAUGCCUAAAAGAGUAAGGAUCGGACCUAAAAUGCUGGACUGGGUGUUCAUAUGAUAUGCUAAAAGUAGUAAAGCAUGAAGGUUUUUGGUUCAUAAAUCUGAACAUCGAGAUAUCAGUACAAAUAUGAUAAUUGAAUUAGAUAAUGCUGAAUUCUUUGAAUAAAUUUAUCCAUAUAAAACUAGACAUGAACAGUCUAGUGGGGGUCUAAACGACCUAGAAAUGAACCAAGUAAGGAUGUAUAUACUGAUGAGAAUCCAAGAUGUUGUUCACAUCAAAGAACGUCAACUUUUUUUGGAUUGUACUUUGUAAUAUUUCUCUUCGAAAAUGAACUUUAAACUUUUAAAGAAGCGAUGUCGUCGUUAGACUAACCCUUGUGGAAAGAGGCAGUCAAUAGUGAGAUUGAUUCAAUCUUAAGAAAUCAUCCGUGGCAGUUGGUUGAUCUUCCUCCAGGAAAUAAACCUUUAGGUUCUAAAUGGAUCUGUAAAAGCAAAAUUAAAACGGAUGAUACUAUUGACAAAUACAAGGCAAGACUUGUUGUGAAAGGCUUUAAACAAAAGGAAGGCCUUGAUUACUUUGCUACAUACUCGCUAGUAAUGAGGAUAAUGUCAAUUCGGAUGUUAAUAACCUUGGCGGCAAUAUAUAGUCUUGAAAUCCAUCAAAUAGAUGUGAAAACAAUAUUCCUAAAUGGAGAAUUAGAGGAAGAAUUACAUAGAAUAGCCUGAGGCUUUUAUGGUUCCAGGAAAAGAAAAUAAGGUGUGUAAACUUGUUAGGUCACUUUAUUGACUAAAACAAGCACCUAAACAAUGGCAUUUGAAGUUUGACUAAACCAUGUUGGAAAAUGGGUUCAAGAUUAAUGAAUGUGAUAAAUGCGUUUACGUUAAAGACACUCUAAAUCACCAAGUCAUUGUUUGUUUGUAUGUGGAUAGUAUGCUGAUCAUUAGUAGAGACAUUUUGAACAUAAAUGCAACGAAAUAAAUGCUCGAGAGCAAGUUAGAUAUGAAAGACCUUAGAGUUGCGGAUGUGAUCUUAGGAAUAAGAAUCCAUAGAACUCCACAAAGGUUGGCAUUGUCACAGUCUCUUUAUAUCGAAAAGGUACUUGACAAAUUCAAGUAUAUGGAAUUCGGUAUUACCAAGACUCAAUUAGAUGUGAGCUUCACACUUUGAAAGAAUGAAGGUAAAGUGACUCACAAUUGGAGUACGCAAGAGUAUUGGGAUUUUUAAUGUAUAUAAUGAAUUGUACACGAACAGGCAUAGUAUGUUCUACUGUUAAGGUUAGUCAGUACAUGGGUAAUCCCAAUAAAACUCCUUAAAUGGCAAUGAACAGAGUUUUGGGGUAUCUUAAAUACACUCAAGACUAUGCUUUGCAUUAUAAUAAAUAUCCUGCGAUACUUGAAGGAUGCAAAUUGGAUCACCUAAUUAAACGAAGUAAAAUCCAUGCCUGGAUAUGUAUUUAAUAUCGAUAGAGGAGCGGUCUCUUGGAAGUCAUCCAAACAGACAUGUAUUACUUACUCUACAAUGGAAUCUGAUUUUAUCAUAAUUUAUAAAGCCGGUGAAGAAGCAGAAAGGCUCUGGAAUUUCUUGGUAGAUAUCCUUAUUGGCCCACACCAGUGGUACCAGUAUGUAUACACUGUGAUAGCUAAGCAGCAAUAGGUAGGGCUGGGAGCAUGAUGUACGAUGGUAAAUCUAGUCGCAUAAGACGAAAACAUAAUACCAUUAGAGAACUUCUCUCUAGUGGAAUUAUCCCUUAGAGGUGGAUACAAAAUUUAAAGUUUAUGGGAUCCAGUAAAAUAAAAAUGGUCAUUUCAAGGGACAUUGAACAGGGGUAUAGCAUAUGAGACAUUUCUUCAAGCCCCAUUUGGACCAAUAAGCCAACUAACAUCUUUACAUAUGGGUUUCUCACUUAUAAUUCUUAUAUAUUUAAUAGAUUUUUAAUAUAAUUACAAGGUAUAUGAAAAUGCUUGGGGUUCCCAGGAACCCACAUUGGCACUGCUACAUCUGCCACUGUUACCACUAUUGACUUUGUAAAGUUAAAAGAUAAUGUGUCAGAUCCACUUACAAAAGAACUAUCUGGGGAAGGAGUUGAAAGGGCAUCUAAGGUAAUGGGUUUAAGGCCUAGGAUAAGUUAGCAUGGCAGUAAGUCUACCUAGAAGACUGGAGAUCCCAAGAGCUAGGUUUAAAAGAUCAAACAAAGUUGUGUCUGACAGGUUCAACAUUGUCAUUAUACCCAACCCAUUCUCAUGAUGUAGAUAAUAUUUAGUAAAUGAGGAUAAGACUUAUGGCGUGAAGUCUUUUAAUGAUUGUCUAAAUUUGGAAGAUUUUACCAAAUAUUUUAAUCUACAGGAUUGAACAUUUUGAAAUCACCUAUGUGAGGGCAAAGUGGAAGCCGCUUUAAGAAGGAUAUUAGAAAAGGCCUAUUCUCUAAGCUCUCAUGAAACUAGGACGUGUUCAUGGUUGGAAAGAACAAAAUCAUGAGAACCAUAAACAGUAAAACUCUAGUUGUGUGACAUAUGUUGUCUAGGUGUAUAUUAAAGCUUGACGAUUUAAAGAUGCCAAAUCUAUUGAUUGACUGUGUGCAUCCUAUGCAUGUUCACUAUAAAAAUUUCAAAGGAAAACCCAUUUAUUCAGAUGCAAUCAGUAUUUGCUCAACGGUCACAUACUUAUUUGUAUCUUUCUUCAAAACAUAGUCAUUCCACAUUCAUGUGAUGGAUUGUACGGUUCAAGGUGUAUGUACGAAUGGAAAAUGGAGGGAAAAAUUAGUGGAGGGAAAGUGUCCCUAAAUUGGAAAGUGUAUUCUUUUAAUAGAAGGCCCACUAAUUCUCCUACUUGGNNNNNNNNNNNNNNNNNNNNNNNNNNNNNNNNNNNNNNNNNNNNNNNNNNNNNNNNNNNNNNNNNNNNNNNNNNNNNNNNNNNNNNNNNNNNNNNNNNNNNNNNNNNNNNNNNNNNNNNNNNNNNNNNNNNNNNNNNNNNNNNNNNNNNNNNNNNNNNNNNNNNNNNNNNNNNNNNNNNNNNNNNNNNNNNNNNNNNNNNNNNNNNNNNNNNNNNNNNNNNNNNNNNNNNNNNNNNNNNNNNNNNNNNNNNNNNNNNNNNNNNNNNNNNNNNNNNNNNNNNNNNNNNNNNNNNNNNNNNNNNNNNNNNNNNNNNNNNNNNNNNNNNNNNNNNNNNNNNNNNNNNNNNNNNNNNNNNNNNNNNNNNNNNNNNNNNNNNNNNNNNNNNNNNNNNNNNNNNNNNNNNNNNNNNNNNNNNNNNNNNNNNNNNNNNNNNNNNNNNNNNNNNNNNNNNNNNNNNNNNNNNNNNNNNNNNNNNNNNNNNNNNNNNNNNNNNNNNNNNNNNNNNNNNNNNNNNNNNNNNNNNNNNNNNNNNNNNNNNNNNNNNNNNNNNNNNNNNNNNNNNNNNNNNNNNNNNNNNNNNNNNNNNNNNNNNNNNNNNNNNNNNNNNNNNNNNNNNNNNNNNNNNNNNNNNNNNNNNNNNNNNNNNNNNNNNNNNNNNNNNNNNNNNNNNNNNNNNNNNNNNNNNNNNNNNNNNNNNNNNNNNNNNNNNNNNNNNNNNNNNNNNNNNNNNNNNNNNNNNNNNNNNNNNNNNNNNNNNNNNNNNNNNNNNNNNNNNNNNNNNNNNNNNNNNNNNNNNNNNNNNNNNNNNNNNNNNNNNNNNNNNNNNNNNNNNNNNNNNNNNNNNNNNNNNNNNNNNNNNNNNNNNNNNNNNNNNNNNNNNNNNNNNNNNNNNNNNNNNNNNNNNNNNNNNNNNNNNNNNNNNNNNNNNNNNNNNNNNNNNNNNNNNNNNNNNNNNNNNNNNNNNNNNNNNNNNNNNNNNNNNNNNNNNNNNNNNNNNNNNNNNNNNNNNNNNNNNNNNNNNNNNNNNNNNNNNNNNNNNNNNNNNNNNNNNNNNNNNNNNNNNNNNNNNNNNNNNNNNNNNNNNNNNNNNNNNNNNNNNNNNGGAAAGAGUCAAUAAAUUAGAAAGUGUACUUUUUUAAUGGAAAGUCCACUAAUUCUCAUACUUGGUAGGAGAAGGGAACUUUCAAUUGUUUAUAAUAAGGAACACUUAAUCCACAUAGUAAAGCAAGCAAGAACAAGUGCAAUGCCCCAAAAUCUGAUCCCAAGAUGUUACAUGGUGCUCAAGACUACGCGUAGCCUUCAGCUAACUCUUUCUGCCUUCUACUAAGUCUGAAUCUCAUUAUAAUGGAAAUAUUAUAAUGGAAAUAUAGACAUAAAAGUCAUACUAAAUGUGGAAAACUGUCUGAGAUAAGUGAGGAUAUACUGUAAAUCUGAAUCAAAUCUAGUAGUCUGACAAGCCUCUACUAUUAAUAACUACUGAGUUAAUGGGAUGAAUUGCCAGCUAACUCGAACUGUUUGGAAAGAAUAUAGAAUCAUAUAAGCUAAUAAGCUACAAAAUCUGAAUGAAUAAGUCCCUGAACUAUGAGGACUCAAUAACUGUCGGAUGUAGAUGGAGAUGCUCGAACUACUCAUGCUACUGAUAUUGAGCACCUGAUUCUACAUUAUGAGACAAUGUAUCACAUAAUCAUAUAUAUGGAUCAGUACUUUGAGGAUGUACUGAUUAUAUGGGGGUGAAAUGCAUACAUAGAAACAUUAUCUCAUCAUUAUAAUUUUUAAAACAAUGCAUGCAAAAUGUAAUGACUCACAUAAGCUGGAAUAUCAUAAAUUCUGAAAUAUGAAAUCAUGAAUAGCAAUCAUACUUUGUAAAUCUAGUGAGUCAUAACAUUUAGUUCUGAAAGAUGUUCUAAUGUUCUAUCUAUAAAUUAUACUGUUAAAGUGUAAAAAGAGCUUAGUUUUGUAUCUGUAAUCUGAAGUUGAAAUCUAAAGCUAAUAUCUUUCUGUAAAAUAUAAUCUGAAUAAAGUUGUGAGCCUUUACACUUAGUUUUCUUAAAAUCUUUUCUAUAAAUCUUUUACUUUAAAUAUCAGGGAGGUUCUUCUAACCCACAUAAAUGAUGUGAGCUAACAUGGAGUCCAAUAUCUCAUUCCCCUAAGGGGAAAACCUCACGAUGGGGAGAGGUGUCAUACUCUUUCCAAGAAGUAUAACCUGAGCUAAGUGAUCACAUCUGUAACUGUCACUGAUAUUAGAAUGGGGAAUGAUAUGAUAAUUACCUACAUUGGCUACAUAGUUCUGUGGAAGAUAGGGCAUGCUAAUCCCACACUUUCUGCUCGGUGCUAAAUACUACUCCCUUUAAUCUGUAUGCUCAUUCUGUUGGAAAAUCCACUUUAAAACUAGCAUAAGGGUUUAGCUAAAACCAAUUACGCUCUUAUCUGAUUUAAUCUAUAAAUAAAAUUGUUUUGAUUUUUGUAAACUAUGAUAAUCUAUAAAGUGAAUUUCAAAUUUAUCUGAGGAUCAAAAGAUCAAAGCUUUAUUGAAAUCCUGUGAAUAAUCUGAUCAUAGGAUGCUUAAAAGAUCAACAUUCUUGAAAUAUCAAUAUAUAAACUUGGGCUUAGUAACCCAUGCAUCAAUCUCAUGUCAAAACAUCAUAGUAAUCAUGCUUGGUAAUGAAAACAAUGAUAAUUCAUCUCAAAAUCUAGAAAUUACUGCAAUAGGCAUGAAAAUAUCGAAAUAGACAUGCAAUUCAACUUCUAAAACCCUUGAAAUCUCAUAAUCUUAUAAAUUAGCAAUAAUGGGUAUGAACCCUAAUUUAAAUCUGAUGUAUAUUCAUUAAAAAUCAUAUGAAUUUGUAAUUAAAACUUGGUUUUUGGGAACAAGGAUGGAAAAAGAUCCUUUUUCAUAAACCCCACAUAUCUUGGUAGAUGAUUAGAUGGACAAUCUUGAAUUAUUGAUCCCUAUUUGAGUUCUUGAAGAUAGUAUCCAGAUAUAAAAUAUUUGACACACCCAUUAUUUUUCAGUUUAGAGCCUUCCAUUACAUAAUAAAUUCAAUUAGCUUUCCAAUGAUAUAAAAUUCGCCCAAAUUCGAUAACCGGAUAAGAAGCUAUUGCGAUUUUAAGUUUCAGUCAUUAAACACCAUCAUUUUGGUCACUAGCGCGUUGCAGAGCUAGUCUAAAUCACAAUUAUCUAAAUCCAGUCUGCCUCUGCGAUAAUAGCGCAUCGCUAAGGUAGCUAAAAUGGCAUUCCAAAGGCUUACCGCGAUAGCUCCGCGUCGCGCCGAGCUUCCAGGUCCAGUUGUCAAUUUCCAAUAAGGUUACAUGAUCCUGGUGCAUCACGCCUGGGCCUCAAAUCGGGAAUUUUAGUUUUUCAGUUCCGUAUUUUUAAUUUCCAAGGGUGUGUUUGGUCAUUUUCCUAAGCCUUAAUCUCGUCCUAAACACGAAAUUAUAGCCUAGUAAAGCAUUGUAUGCACAUUAUUCUCAAAUUACUCAAAAGAGGAUCCAUUCUCUUCAAGAUAACAAAAAACCUAGCUCCCAAAUUCAAGGCCAAAGCUCAAGAGCCCUCUAUCAAUCUUCUUAAAUUAAUUAACCCAAGUAUGUUAAAUGUUCAUCCUUGGGUUCCUUUCACCUAUAGAGUCUAAGUAUCCAAUUUAAAUUACAAAAUUUUGAUCUUUUCAAGUUAUUUUGAUUUUAAAUUAUGAUUUCACACAUGACUCUAUGAACUACGAUUUUACACCAUGUAUAGAUGAAAUUAUUUUUAUUAUUCAAUUCUCCAUGUUUUAAUGUUAUCAUUCAUUGAAUUAAUCAUGAUUUAGUACUAUUCAUGUUGAAUUCAUUCUAUUACUACAAGUUCUCUAACAUUCCUAUGAUUUGACCAAACUAUGAACUACAAUUUUUUGACAAAAUGCCUACAAGAAUGAGUAGUUGAUAAGGGUUUUCAUGCUAAGUCCUCUAAGUUUGAUAUUGUGUUACUAUUUUUGCUUUUGAGUCCUGGGUGUAUGGAAUACCCAAAAACCAUAGAUGCUUAUUUAGUCUCGUCUCAGUAUCUUCAGAAUACAUAUUAUGAGCAUUACUAGAUCAGUUAGUUAAACUCAGAAUAGUCAGUAACUCAGUAUUAUUCGGUUGGGAGUAGGAGUUAGCACCGAGCAAGUGUAGGGAUGGCGGUGCAAUACCCCAAAGUUUUCUAACUAAUUUUGUCUCAAGAAUUUCAAGUAUUAGCUUCUAAAUUCAAUAAGCUUUCCAUCGAUAUAAAAUUCGCCUAAAUCUUAUAAUCGAAUAAGAAGUUAUAACUAUUUCAAGUUUCCAUCGUAAAGCAGCGUCAUAUUGGUCAGUGGCGCACCGCGCCACAAGAUAAAAUGGAAAUUUUCGUUUUUCCAAUGUCUCAGUACAAUUUCUCCGUGUCAAGCCAAACUUCCAGGUCGCAAAUGAAGUGGCAACGCGAUGGCUCCGCAUCGUGCCAUUUUCCUAUUUACCAAUUGUCAAAUUCCAGUGACACGGUACGAUAGCGCUGCGUCAUGCUAGGGGUCCAGUUUAGGAAAUUUUCACCAAUUUAAAAGGCACGUUCAGGGUUAAAAGGGUCAAUUUUCCACCCCUAUUUAAGCCCUUUAACACGAGAUUCAGCUAUUUGGAACCCAAAAUAUACUAGUUUCUCUCAAUUUUCUCUCAAGAACAAGCUAGGGUUUCAAUUGGGGAUUCAAUUUCAAGAAAGUUUAUCCGUCAAUCUUCGUGUAUGUCUUUUGUUGAUUCAUAGGUCUCUUUCACCCAUGAAUCUCAAGAAUUUCUUUUCAAAAUCACUGAUUUGUAUAUUUACGAAUGUUCAUGGUUUGAUUAAAUUGAAAAGUGAUGUUCAUAUUCCUGUUUGGUUUCAUUCCAUGUUAUAUACUAUUAAUUAUAAGAAUUGAUUCUAGUAUGUGAGGAAUUACGCGGUAUUCAUGAUAAACCCUUCAAUUCACAAGUUGAUUGAUGUAUCCUUUAUUAUUAUAUGUGUUGAUGAUUGUAUAACCAUAGCAUGCCCCCCCCAUGUUUGAUUAAAUGCCUAUGUGAAGGAAAAGUAUCAUACUAGUAUGAUAAUAUGAAAUCUCCAUUCAUGUACAAGUUAUGUAUGUCAAGUGUUUGAUGAAAUGUCUUAGCCAAUAGAUUAUGUAUUUUUGAUAUUGGUCCUAUACUCAAGAAAGUCAUGCUUUGUGCUUUCAUGAUAUGCUAAUUCAAGCCAUGAUCCAUAGAACUCUGUCAGUCAUGUGACUCAAGAAAGCUUAGUAAUAUAGUAAUCUCAGUUCAGUAAUCCAUGACCAGUGUCUAUUUAGAUAGGAGUAGGAAUUAGCACCUAAUGAACCUAAGGAUGGGAACACACAUUAUCGGAUGAGGGUAUGAUUCUUAGAAGUCAUCCUUGUGUUCCAGAACUAUGUAGCCAGCAUAGGUUGAGACAUCAACACUGUUAGAUGAGGGUUGAUGAGGUGGGUAAGAACUAUCAGAUGAGGGCCCUACCAUUCUCUUUUGGGGACACUGUCAGAUUAGGGUCACUCACAAUUUGUCCUUACCAGUGGCGUGGUAUUGACACCUUUCUAAUUGGGAUUAUAAAUUGGACCCCAACUCAGCCAAAAUGGUGUAUUAGGGGCAUGUCAGUUAGAUAAUUACCCCUGGACUAAUUAAAAUUAUAUUUUUGGCAACCUUAAGGCCUACGUGGCACAGUGUGUGAAUCAACAUACUGUGGGUCCGUGUAGGAACAUAUAUGUGCAACGUAGGCACUUAAGGUUGUAAAAAAUACGAUUUUGAUUAGUACAGGGGGUAAUAGGACUCCAUUUAUGUUGGAGUGUUUCUCAGCAAUUUCAUUUAUAGUUCAGGGUAGAAACAGUGCAUUUUCUUUUUUUGUUCAGAUCAUUCCCACUUGGACUUUUAUUAUUGGUCUCUUCUUGUUACUUAUUAAAUUACGUUGUAGUUAAAACUCCAUCUAUCUUUAAUUAACAAUCACUUUAGCUAAAAAAAAAUCAAUCCAAAUAAUUUUUAAUACGAAAUUAAAGUUUACAUUUAUUUUCAACUACACCCUUAUAGUUCUUAUUGAUAAAUGACAUAUAAUAAAUAGGACAAUUUGAUCAAUAAUACCUUGUACCUAUAUUUUUCUUAGCAAACGUGAAAAAGGAUACAACAAUGACUAAAAUGGAAUGGAUAAGAUAAUUUUUAGGGGGUGUGUGAAACAUAAGCACGACAAGUAAAUGAACCGAAUGGAGUAAUCUAUUAAUGUAAUUUAAUUAUUAUUUAGUAUCCUUGUAGAUUAUUAUGAAGUUAGUUUGUGUAAGAGCUCUAAAUUAAGGUUAUAAGAUAUAAUAUAAACAUGAAGUCAUGAAAAUAUUUUGUUGUAUUAGAUGAUUUUAUAAAAUAAAAUAAAUGAAUUAGGCAAAAACUCUCGCUACAUGAAGUAAAGAACAAAAUUAAAACUCACUAAAUAUCAAAAGAAAUUUAUUUCAGUAUAUAAAUAAACAAUUAGAUACUCACAAAACUAUAAAAAAAUAAAUAUUUUUUUAUUUAUGAUCUUCAUCCAAUUAUAAUUAUUUAAUUAUUUUAAAUCAUGUUAUUUACAAAAUAUUGAAUUGAUUGUGGCCCUUUGAUAUAUUCUAAUUCUCUGGUAAUAUUUUUUAACUCACAAAUAUUUUUUUCCUUAAAAAUAAUCUACUUAUGUAUUUAAAAACUUUAAUAAUUAGGAAAACUUAUUAACAAGACACGUUUGACAUAUAAUUAGAUUAUAUUAUUCAUAAAAUAAAAAAUAUAUAAAAGAUUAUAUUUUAAAUUAAAAUUAGUUAUUUUAUAUCUUUAGUUUGGGCCCGGGCUUAGCACGGGCCUCUUGUAACUAGUUUUUAAUAGAUGUAUCAAAAUAUUACAUAACUUAUUUUUAGGAUUAGCAAGAUUUCAACCAUGUUAAUUCGUUUGUACUAAGUAUAUAUAUUUUUCCACUUAGAUGUUCUUUUGUGAUUGUUUUUAUUUUAAGUUGAUUAUAAGAACUGAGUGAAAAAAACUGCAACCUAAAAUUUUUUAAAAAUUUUAUCAGUGUUGCGAUAAAGCUAUUGAUUUUGGUUGUUUUCCAGUAGCACUUCUCCACCAACAAUUGUUGCUUCUUUGAGAGUUUCAAGAUUCUCAUUGCAAAGUGCUAAAAAUCUUUUGGUGGUUCAAUAGAACUAUCAGAUUUGACCAGAGAAAAUUACAUCUGGAUUUCUAGAUCUAGCAGAUCUAAUUGAAGAAAAUCAAAUCUAGAAUUCCAAAUCUAUCAGGUUUGACUACAUAAAUCAAAUAUGGAACUCUAGAUCUAUUAGAUCUGAUCAGAGAAAAUUGAACCUGGAACUCAAGAUCUAUCAGACUGAUUGGAGAAAACAAAAUUUGAAACUUCAAAUCUAUCAGAUCUAACUAGAGAAAUCAAAUCUGGAACUCCAAAUCUACCAGAUUGACCAGAGAAAUCAAUUCUGGAACUCCAAAUCUAUCAGAUCUGACCAAAGAAAUCAAAUAUGAAACUCCAGAUUUAUCAGAUCUAGACCGAGAAAAUUGAACCUAAAACUCCUGAUCUAUCAACCUAAUUAUAGAAAAUGGAAUCUAGAACUCUAGAUCAAUAAGGUCUAACCAGAGAAAUCCAAUCUAGAACUCUAGAUCUAUUAGAUAUGACUGGAGAAAUCAAAUCUGGAUCUCCAGAUCAACUAGAUUUUAUCAGAAAAAAUUGAAUCUGAAACUAUUGUUGUUGGUUCUAAUGCACAACUGUCAUUCUCUAAUAUGGUUCACCAUCCACCUCCACUACUCCGGCAACCCAGGGCUAGCAAGCGGAGUCUCUGACAAUAAGAAUUUGGCGUCUAGUUUUAGCACUAGAUUUUGCCAACAUCCUACAAAGUUUCCAAGAAAACCGCCCUAAUCCCUGUGAUUUCUAUCUCUUUAAUCUUUAUUAAAGUCAUUUGCUAUUUUCUAUUUUUUGUUUAAAUCUUCCCAAGUUUUCAUUCUCUGCCCACAUUUUUCUAACUUG